This 466-nucleotide ribosomal RNA is filed under the name uncultured bacterium. RNAcentral's name for it is "partial 16S ribosomal RNA". It matches the Rfam family "Bacterial small subunit ribosomal RNA", at positions 30 to 523 of the family's 1533-position model. The record is from RNAcentral.
CCUGAACGCUGGCGGCGUGGCUAAGACAUGCAAGUCGCACGGUGUAGCAAUACACAGUGGCGAACGGGUGAGUAAUGAAUCGCUAAUGUACCCCGGACUCUGGGAUAGCUACCCGAAAGGGUAGGUAAUACCAGAUGAUAUAACCGAACCGCAUGGUUUGGUUCUCAAAGGUCCGCCGGUCUGGGAGCAGGCGAUUUCGUAUCAGCUUGUUGGUGGGGUAACGGCUCACCAAGGGGACGACGCGUAACCGGACCGAGGGGGUGGCCGGUCCCCAUGGGACCGAGGCCCUUGCCAGACUCCUACCGGGGGCUGCAGUAACGAAACUUCCGCAAUGGACGAAAGGGUGACGGAGGGACGCCGCGUGUAAGGCGAAGCCCUUCGGGGUGUUAGGUACUGUCAGGGGAAAGAAAGUUCUGGUCUACCCCAGAGGAAGGGACGGCUAACUCUGUGCCAGCCGCCGCUGUAA